Molecule: ribosomal RNA, 314 nt
Filed under: uncultured Bacillus sp.
Lineage: Bacteria; Bacillati; Bacillota; Bacilli; Caryophanales; Bacillaceae
Description: partial 16S ribosomal RNA
Source: RNAcentral
GAGGUGGGGAUGGCGGGGGCUUGGGGGGCCUACGGGAGGCAGCAGUGGGGAAUAUUGGACAAUGGGCGAAAGCGUGAUCCAGCCAUGCGCGUUGUGAAGAAGGUUUUCGGAAGUGAAGCACUUUAACUUGGGAGGAAGGGCAGUGGGUUGUGCACGGGGGGCCUACGGGAGGCAGCAGUAGGGAAUCUUCCGCAAUGGACGAAAGUCUGACGGAGCAACGCCGCGUGAGUGAUGAAGGCGUUGUGUUAGUAAAGAUAUGAUGUUAGGUAAGAACAACUCCACGGCCGCGGGGGGCGGCCGGACCUCCUAUUCCU